Molecule: ribosomal RNA, 313 nt
Filed under: uncultured Pseudomonadota bacterium
Lineage: Bacteria; Pseudomonadati; Pseudomonadota
Description: bacterial SSU rRNA
Rfam family: Bacterial small subunit ribosomal RNA
Source: RNAcentral
CAUUGGUGAGGAAUAACACGAGGAAACUUGUGCUAAUACCUCAUAAGUCUUCACGGAGAAAGCUUUAUGCGCCGAUGGAUGAGCCUGCACUUGAUUAGUUUGUUGGUAGGGUAAUGGCCUACCAAGACAAUGAUCAAUAGCUGAUUUGAGAGGAUGAUCAGCCACAUUGGGACUGAGACACGGCCCAAACUCCUACGGGAGGCAGCAGUAGGGAAUCUUGCACAAUGGGGGAAACCCUGAUGCAGCGAUGCCGCGUGAGUGAAGAAGGCCUUUGGGUUGUAAAGCUCUUUCGUCGGGGAAGAGAAUGACUGUA